GACGAACGCUGGCGGCGUGCUUAACACAUGCAAGUCGAACGGAAAGGCCCUGCUUUUGUGGGGUGCUCGAGUGGCGAACGGGUGAGUAACACGUGAGUAACCUGCCCUUGACUUUGGGAUAACUUCAGGAAACUGGGGCUAAUACCGGAUAGGAGCUCCUGCUGCAUGGUGGGGGUUGGAAAGUUUCGGCGGUUGGGGAUGGACUCGCGGCUUAUCAGCUUGUUGGUGGGGUAGUGGCUUACCAAGGCUUUGACGGGUAGCCGGCCUGAGAGGGUGACCGGCCACAUUGGGACUGAGAUACGGCCCAGACUCCUACGGGAGGCAGCAGUGGGGAAUAUUGCACAAUGGGCGGAAGCCUGAUGCAGCAACGCCGCGUGCGGGAUGACGGCCUUCGGGUUGUAAACCGCUUUCGCCUGUGACGAAGCGUGAGUGGCGGUAAUGGGUAAAGAAGCACCUGCUAACUACGUG
RNAcentral lists this ribosomal RNA (468 nucleotides) under uncultured bacterium. RNAcentral's name for it is "partial 16S ribosomal RNA". It matches the Rfam family "Bacterial small subunit ribosomal RNA", at positions 28 to 507 of the family's 1533-position model. The record is from RNAcentral.